UUAAGCGAACAAGCGUACACGGUGGAUGCCCUGGCAGUCAGAGGCGAUGAAGGACGUGCUAAUCUGCGAAAAGCGCCGGUAAGGUGAUAUGAACCGUUACAGCCGGCGAUGUCCGAAUGGGGAAACCCAGUGCAAUUCGUUGCACUAUCUCAGCAUGAAUACAUAGUGCUGUGAGGCGAACCGGGGGAACUGAAACAUCUAAGUACCCCGAGGAAAAGAAAUCAACCGAGAUUCCCCCAGUAGCGGCGAGCGAACGGGGAACAGCCCAGAGCCUGAAUCAGCUUGUGUGUCAGUGGAACGGUCUGGAAAGGCCGGCGAUACAGGGUGACAGCCCCGUACACGAAGGCACACAGGGGCUGGUGAGCUCGAUGAGUAGGGCGGGACACGUGAUAUCCUGUCUGAAGAUGGGGGGACCAUCCUCCAAGGCUAAAUACUCCUGACUGACCGAUAGUGAACCAGUACCGUGAGGGAAAGGCGAAAAGAACCCCGGCGAGGGGAGUGAAACAGAACCUGAAACCGUGUACGUACAAGCAGUGGGAGCCUUCGUAAGAGGGUGACUGCGUACCUUUUGUAUAAUGGGUCAGCGACUUAUAUUCUGUAGCAAGGUUAACCGUAUAGGGGAGCCGAAGGGAAACCGAGUCUUAAUUGGGCGUUAAGUUGCAGGGUAUAGACCCGAAACCCGGUGAUCUAGCCAUGGGCAGGUUGAAGGUUGGGUAACACUAACUGGAGGACCGAACCGACUAAUGUUGAAAAAUUAGCGGAUGACCUGUGGCUGGGGGUGAAAGGCCAAUCAAACCGGGAGAUAGCUGGUUCUCCCCGAAAGCUAUUUAGGUAGCGCCUCGUGAACUCAUCUUCGGGGGUAGAGCACUGUUUCGGCUAGGGGGCCAUCCCGGCUUACCAACCCGAUGCAAACUACGAAUACCGAAGAAUGUUAUCACGGGAGACACACGGCGGGUGCUAACGUCCGUCGUGAAGAGGGAAACAACCCAGACCGCCAGCUAAGGUCCCAAAGUCAUGGUUAAGUGGGAAACGAUGUGGGAAGGCACAGACAGCCAGGAUGUUGGCUUAGAAGCAGCCAUCAUUUAAAGAAAGCGUAAUAGCUCACUGGUCGAGUCGGCCUGCGCGGAAGAUGUAACGGGGCUAAACCAUGCACCGAAGCUGCGGCAGCGACACUAUGUGUUGUUGGGUAGGGGAGCGUUCUGUAAGCCUGUGAAGGUGUGCUGUGAGGCAUGCUGGAGGUAUCAGAAGUGCGAAUGCUGACAUAAGUAACGAUAAAGCGGGUGAAAAGCCCGCUCGCCGGAAGACCAAGGGUUCCUGUCCAACGUUAAUCGGGGCAGGGUGAGUCGACCCCUAAGGCGAGGCCGAAAGGCGUAGUCGAUGGGAAACAGGUUAAUAUUCCUGUACUUGGUGUUACUGCGAAGGGGGGACGGAGAAGGCUAUGUUGGCCGGGCGACGGUUGUCCCGGUUUAAGCGUGUAGGUGUGUGUUCCAGGUAAAUCCGGUUCACUUUAACACUGAGGCGUGAUGACGAGGCACUACGGUGCUGAAGUAACAAAUGCCCUGCUUCCAGGAAAAGCCUCUAAGCAUCAGGUAACAUCAAAUCGUACCCCAAACCGACACAGGUGGUCAGGUAGAGAAUACCAAGGCGCUUGAGAGAACUCGGGUGAAGGAACUAGGCAAAAUGGUGCCGUAACUUCGGGAGAAGGCACGCUGACAUGUAGGUGAAGCCCCUGCGGGUGGAGCUGAAGUCAGUCGAAGAUACCAGCUGGCUGCAACUGUUUAUUAAAAACACAGCACUGUGCAAACACGAAAGUGGACGUAUACGGUGUGACGCCUGCCCGGUGCCGGAAGGUUAAUUGAUGGGGUUAUCGCAAGAGAAGCUCCUGAUCGAAGCCCCGGUAAACGGCGGCCGUAACUAUAACGGUCCUAAGGUAGCGAAAUUCCUUGUCGGGUAAGUUCCGACCUGCACGAAUGGCGUAAUGAUGGCCAGGCUGUCUCCACCCGAGACUCAGUGAAAUUGAACUCGCUGUGAAGAUGCAGUGUACCCGCGGCAAGACGGAAAGACCCCGUGAACCUUUACUACAGCUUGACACUGAACAUUGAGCCUUGAUGUGUAGGAUAGGUGGGAGGCUUUGAAGCGUGGACGCCAGUCUGCGUGGAGCCAACCUUGAAAUACCACCCUUUAAUGUUUGAUGUUCUAACCUGGCGCCAUAAUCUGGCGUGGGGACAGUGUCUGGUGGGUAGUUUGACUGGGGCGGUCUCCUCCCAAAGUGUAACGGAGGAGCACGAAGGUCAGCUAAUCCUGGUCGGACAUCAGGAGGUUAGUGCAAUGGCAUAAGCUGGCUUGACUGCGAGAGUGACGGCUCGAGCAGGUGCGAAAGCAGGUCAUAGUGAUCCGGUGGUUCUGUAUGGAAGGGCCAUCGCUCAACGGAUAAAAGGUACUCCGGGGAUAACAGGCUGAUACCGCCCAAGAGUUCAUAUCGACGGCGGUGUUUGGCACCUCGAUGUCGGCUCAUCACAUCCUGGGGCUGAAGUAGGUCCCAAGGGUAUGGCUGUUCGCCAUUUAAAGUGGUACGCGAGCUGGGUUUAGAACGUCGUGAGACAGUUCGGUCCCUAUCUGCCGUGGGCGCUGGAGAAUUGAGGGGGGCUGCUCCCAGUACGAGAGGACCGGAGUGGACGCAUCACUGGUGUUCGGGUUGUCAUGCCAAUGGCACUGCCCGGUAGCUAAAUGCGGAAGAGAUAAGUGCUGAAAGCAUCUAAGCACGAAACUUGCCCCGAGAUGAGUUCUCCCUGACUCCUUGAGAGUCCUGAAGGAACGUUGAAGACGACGACGUUGAUAGGCCGGGUGUGUAAGCGCAGCGAUGCGUUGAGCUAACCGGUACUAAUGAACCGUGAGGCUUAACCUU
Molecule: ribosomal RNA, 2905 nt
Filed under: Cronobacter dublinensis subsp. lausannensis LMG 23824
Lineage: Bacteria; Pseudomonadati; Pseudomonadota; Gammaproteobacteria; Enterobacterales; Enterobacteriaceae
Description: bacterial LSU rRNA
Rfam family: Bacterial large subunit ribosomal RNA
Source: RNAcentral